GACGAACGCUGGCGGCGUGCUUAACACAUGCAAGUCGAACGGAAAGGCCCUGCUUUUGUGGGGUGCUCGAGUGGCGAACGGGUGAGUAACACGUGAGUAACCUGCCCUUGACUUUGGGAUAACUUCAGGAAACGGGGGCUAAUACCGGAUAGGAGCUCCUGCGGCAUGGGGGGGGUUGGAAGGUUUCGGCGGUUGGGGAUGGACUCGCGGCUUAUCAGCUUGUUGGUGGGGUAGUGGCUUACCAAGGCUUUGACGGGUAGCCGGCCUGAGAGGGUGACCGGCCACAUUGGGACUGAGAUACGGCCCAGACUCCUACGGGAGGCAGCAGUGGGGAAUAUUGCACAAUGGGCGGAAGCCUGAUGCAGCAACGCCGCGUGCGGGAUGACGGCCUUCGGGUUGUAAACCGCUUUCGCCUGUGACGAAGCGUGAGUGACGGUAAUGGGUAAAGAAGCACCGGCUAACUACGUG
This 468-nucleotide ribosomal RNA is filed under the name uncultured bacterium. Its description in RNAcentral is "partial 16S ribosomal RNA". It matches the Rfam family "Bacterial small subunit ribosomal RNA", at positions 28 to 507 of the family's 1533-position model. The record is from RNAcentral.